GGGUGUGAAGGUGAUCUGGCUAUGGCAUCCAUCAUCCCAUCAACCACCUGGCUCAUCUGGCUGGCCAGUCACGGUGCCCUCUUCACUUACCAUUCUGUGUGCAUCCGUGCUCAGUGGGAGAGGAUGACAUUUCCCCAUAAAGAAGGAACAUUCUUCCUCCUUUUCUGGCUGUGCUCAACUGCUAGUGUCUCCAAACAAGGUUUCAAAGUCCAAAGGGCUUGGCCAGCCCACCCCCGUGUCUC
This is a non-coding RNA of Ictidomys tridecemlineatus (thirteen-lined ground squirrel), 242 nucleotides long. The record is from Rfam. NCBI's taxonomy places the organism in Eukaryota, Metazoa, Chordata, Mammalia, Rodentia, Sciuridae.